This 56-nucleotide transfer RNA is filed under the name Nematodirus oiratianus. RNAcentral's name for it is "tRNA-Ile". Lineage: Eukaryota; Metazoa; Nematoda; Chromadorea; Rhabditida; Molineidae. The record is from RNAcentral.
AUUUUAUUAGUAUAAAGGAAAUAUAUUAUCUUGAUAAGGUAAAGAUGGAUAAAAUA